This 478-nucleotide ribosomal RNA is filed under the name uncultured bacterium. RNAcentral's name for it is "partial 16S ribosomal RNA". It matches the Rfam family "Bacterial small subunit ribosomal RNA", at positions 28 to 523 of the family's 1533-position model. The record is from RNAcentral.
GACGAACGCUGGCGGCGUGCUUAACACAUGCAAGUCGAACGGUAAGGCCCUUCGGGGUACACGAGUGGCGAACGGGUGAGUAACACGUGGGUGAUCUGCCCUGCACUUCGGGAUAAGCCUGGGAAACUGGGUCUACCACCGGAUAGGACCACUGCCUGCAUGGGUGGUGGUGGAAAGCUUUGGCGGUGUGGGAUGGGCCCGCGGACUAUCAGCUUGUUGGUGGGGUGAUGGCCUACCAAGGCGACGACGGGUAGCCGGGCUGAGAGGGUGACCGGCCACACUGGGACUGAGAUACGGCCCAGACUCCUACGGGAGGCAGCAGUGGGGAAUAUUGCACAAUGGGCGCAAGCCUGAUGCAGCGACGCCGCGUGAGGGAUGACGGCCUUCGGGUUGUAAACCUCUUUCAGCACCGACGAAGCGCAAGUGACGGUAGGUGCAGAAGAAGGACCGGCCAACUACGUGCCAGCCGCCGCUGUAA